UAUAUUUUAGUAUAAGGUGUACAUUAAUUUUUGAUAUUAAAGGAAAUAGUUUAAUUCUAUUAAGUAUAA
Molecule: transfer RNA, 69 nt
Filed under: Histeroidea sp. 1 KM-2017
Lineage: Eukaryota; Metazoa; Arthropoda; Insecta; Coleoptera
Description: tRNA-Gln
Rfam family: tRNA
About the family: Transfer RNA (tRNA) molecules are approximately 80 nucleotides in length. Their secondary structure includes four short double-helical elements and three loops (D, anti-codon, and T loops).
Source: RNAcentral